Molecule: ribosomal RNA, 271 nt
Filed under: Pseudomonas sp. LL73
Lineage: Bacteria; Pseudomonadati; Pseudomonadota; Gammaproteobacteria; Pseudomonadales; Pseudomonadaceae
Description: partial 16S ribosomal RNA
Rfam family: Bacterial small subunit ribosomal RNA
Source: RNAcentral
GUACCUGGUGGCGAGCGGCGGACGGGUGAGUAAUGCCUAGGAAUCUGCCUGGUAGUGGGGGAUAACGCUCGGAAACGGACGCUAAUACCGCAUACGUCCUACGGGAGAAAGCAGGGGACCUUCGGGCCUUGCGCUAUCAGAUGAGCCUAGGUCGGAUUAGCUAGUUGGUGAGGUAAUGGCUCACCAAGGCGACGAUCCGUAACUGGUCUGAGAGGAUGAUCAGUCACACUGGAACUGAGACACGGUCCAGACUCCUACGGGAGGCAGCAGU